UGGGGAAUUUUGGACAAUGGGCGAAAGCCUGAUCCAGCAAUGCCGCGUGUGUGAAGAAGGCCUUCGGGUUGUAAAGCACUUUUGUCCGGAAAGAAAUCCUUGGCUCUAAUACAGUCGGGGGGAUGACGGUACCGGAAGAAUAAGCACCGGCUAACUACGUGCCAGCAGCCGCGGUAAUACGUAGGGUGCAAGCGUUAAUCGGAAUUACUGGGCGUAAAGCGUGCGCAGGCGGUUUGCUAAGACCGAUGUGAAAUCCCCGGGGCUCAACCUGGGUAACUGCAUUGGUGACUGGCAGGCUAGAGUAUGGCAGAGGGGGGUAGAAUUCCACGUGUAGCAGUGAAAGUGCGUAGAGAUGUGGAGGAAUACCGAUGGCGAAGGCAGCCCCCUGGGCCAAAUACUGACGCUCAUGCACGAAAGCGUGGGGAGCAAACAGGAUUAGAUACCCUGGUAGUCCACGCCCUAAACGAUGUCAACUAGUUGUUGGGGAUUCAUUUCCUUAGUAACGUAGCUAACGCGUGAAGUUGACCGCCUGGGGAGUAC
This 540-nucleotide ribosomal RNA is filed under the name uncultured bacterium. RNAcentral's name for it is "partial 16S ribosomal RNA". It matches the Rfam family "Bacterial small subunit ribosomal RNA", at positions 355 to 883 of the family's 1533-position model. The record is from RNAcentral.